Cyprinus carpio carpio is the source of this 583-nucleotide long non-coding RNA. The record is from Ensembl. NCBI's taxonomy places the organism in Eukaryota, Metazoa, Chordata, Actinopteri, Cypriniformes, Cyprinidae.
ACCUUCAACAAUCACUUGAAGAUCUCUAGAUGUUUCUGUGCCGUCUGAGUGAAAGAGUGUUAAUCUGUAAUUCCCAGAAUCUGCUCUGAUCACACGGUUUAUUAUCACAGUCCCAUUAAUGACGUUCACUUCAGGUCUGUUAUUAUAAAGAUCACAUUCACUCAUCCUCAUCCUGUCAUUCUUUACUCUACAAACUGGACCAUCUUGUGUGUUGUUGUUUAUUCUCUUUUUUAUCUGCAGGUCAUAUUUGCUAGCGUCCACCAUCAGCAGAUUGAGUUUGUCUCCCAGAGCUACGUAACAGGGAACAGAUUGACCAAAACUGCAGAACCGAUCCAGACCUGAAGAAACACACACACACACACACAAACACAAUGUAGCAAAAUCUACAGAUGUCACAAAAAAAUUUAAAUAAAACAUUCAUAUUAUUUUUUAAAUGUCUGUUUAACACUGGAAUAUCAUCUGUUUUUGUUUUCUUCAGUCAUAAAGCAAAUUUAAAUGUUGAUUUUAUUUAAAUUUACUUUCACUGUCUACAAACACUUUUUGCAUGUUGACAUGUUUUAUUCUGAUAAAGCAUAGAUUGUCU